RNAcentral lists this ribosomal RNA (115 nucleotides) under Candidatus Pacearchaeota archaeon. The record is from RNAcentral. Lineage: Archaea; Nanobdellati.
UGAGACAGCCAUAAUAGGUUGGGAACACCUGUUCUCAUUCCGAACACAGAAGUUAAGCUUCCUAUGUUAAUGGCGGUAGUGGCCGACAAGCUGCAAACCCAUUAAGCUGUCUUUU